Molecule: long non-coding RNA, 6657 nt
Organism: Gallus gallus (chicken)
Lineage: Eukaryota; Metazoa; Chordata; Aves; Galliformes; Phasianidae
Source: Ensembl
GCUCACACCGCAGCGCUGCGGGAGAAAGGCGAGCGGGAAGCUGACGGUGCGCAGUGCAAAUCGCGGUUUCCCUGCAGGAAGAGCUGAGUCCCCGCACACCGCACACCGCACACCGCACACCGCACACCGCCGCUCAGCCACGGGGAGGAGUGGGAGUUUGCUCGGGGGCUGCUUUACAGCUGCGCUAAGAGCGGCUCGGAGCGGUUCUGUGCUGGGCACUGCGGUGCAUACACCGACCUUCCAUUCCUCCAAGCAUGGCUGCUUCAUCCGAAUCAUGGAGCCACUGCUCAUCGGCGGAUUAAUGACUAUUUCCAGCAAACAAUGCUUUGAAAAGACGCUCCUAAAGGCAAAGCAAAGAUUGGCAGAAACGCUCACAGCAGCUUAGCACGGAGCUGCCUCAAUGUCUGCCCAAUGCCCAGCCUGGCUCAGCAGUGAGCUCUGGGCAGGGUUUGAGCACGGAGCUGUGGGUGCCUGGAUGAGCUGUGAGGCACAACAUGAGCAAAGCCAUAGCAAAGAGCACUGUGAGCAGAGGAGUACAUUGGACUGAGAGUACCCACCUCUGCCGGGAUCCACACAACUUCAUCUCUCCGAGCAGCACAGCCCCCAGUGUUGGACGGAUGGCCCCAAAACCUCUGAGGUGGUGGCACAGAUCCAUCAGCAUGUGGAACACAGGACCGCAGCGUGGGCUGGCAGCGCCAGGAUUGCACUCUGUGAGCAGCAGUGAUUAUUUCGGAUUUCUGCUAUGAUUACAGACUUCAAAUACGCUGUAAAAGGAACCCGUAUACAACCCUUCAAAAUCACUUAAGUGGGCCAAUGACAGAAGUACCAGCCCUGCAAGUACAUACAGAGCACUGCGGAAAUCAUCCCCGGUGUUUAUUUAUGAGCCACUUUUAAUUAUUCAGCGGGAAUGAAUGAAAGAGGUGGAAAAUGGGAAGCGACAGAGGGCUUUGCAUUGAGUUACAGCUCGUGGAGAGCAAAGGGAGAGAUCACGGCGCUUUCAAGUCGCGAUGGUUGGAGGGUAUAAUUACACCCUGCUGCUUUAUGGGCCAAACCUCAGAGAAUUCAAUGGCAAACUGUGUUUCAGAGAGCGUGAGGAGCCCUCAGAAGGCUUCACACAGCACUGAGGAAGAGCAGAAUGCUUCACAUAGGCAGCAGCAGGCAUGGCAGAGCCCUGGGCUCAGCAAGGUCACCUGUCUGAAGGGGAGCUGCACGGACAGCAGUGCGAGUUCUGCUUGGCACGUCUGCAGGGAGCAGAUAUGGAGAAGGAGAAGUGCUGCGAUGCCACGUGGUUAGCUGAAAAGUGUUUUCUCUGCAGCUCCCACAGGAAAGGCCCAUGACUGAGAAAGAACAUGGUGUUCGUUCAUUGGGACAAGCUGAUCUUCAAGCUGAUUUGUGUUAAUUUGGAAAGUGAGAUCUUUUUUUUGUUGUUGUUGUUCCCCCUUUCUUUUUCCAGGAAAAAUGGAGCUGUCUGGUUUUGAUCACUUGGUGUGCUCAGCACCAAAGCCCUCAGAGUAAAUAUCUCCUAUGAAGGACAUUAAGGACCAACUCAUGGGGAGCAGCAGCAGGAAAACACUGCCAUAAACCCAAUACACAUCACGGUGCAUUCGUUUGUUACUUGGCACUGUAGCCGGGGCAGGGAAAACAUAGGAAGGCAUGGAGCAGAAUGGUGCCUCGGGGUGAUGAGUACAGCUGGGGCAGUGUGAUUAGCCCCAAGUGGCAGAGUCCUCCAUGCGCCCUGCAAGGCAGCUGAUGGCUCUGUGCUCCCUUUCCUGCUGGCUAUGGGAGGAAGGAGGGGAUGACCGGGCACGGUGCAAGCCAGCCUUGCUUUCCAUUCGAAUCCUAGAACCGUAGCCAAAGAAAACAAAGAAAUAGAAAAAGAAAGACGACGCACGGCAGCGUGCUGCUGCUGGAGGAAGGCCGAUAAGGCGGCAGCUGCUGCUCUUCCUCUGGGCUGCCCAGCAGAAAGCUGAAGGCAGCGCCGCCCGGCUCCUCACCCCAGCGCCGGGGAACGGCUUUAAGGAGCCGUGAUGCUCAGCGGGCUGAUAGGCAGAGCGGACGGCAGACCUUCCAGCUUCCUUCUGCCUUCCGAGCACACUCUGCCCAUUGGGCCCCGCUGUAGUGUCACCUCGGGGAUCUCUGUGGUGUUAAAGCGAACUUCUGCACAAGAGCGAGCAACUCCCGUUUGCACCCCCGCCGGUAUUUCUUCCCCAGAAGUGAACUUGCUGCUCUUCGCCGCGAGAUGGAGCCUUCAGAUCGAGCCCUUUCCCUUAGGGUUGGUGGUUGUCUAAAGCAAUUAAGCCUCAUUUAGAGAUCGCACGUGUUUAGUUUUCUCAGAUUACUAUCUGUGGGUCUUUAUUAUUUUUUUUUGUUAAUGAAUCAUAUUUUUCAUCAUCUCUCUCUCUUUUAUCUGAUACGAGGAAACUGCAAAGGCUGCCAGAAUGGGUGCUGCUCCAGCCCAGCUCUGCAGAGGAGGACAGUGAACAAUGCAGCUCUUCUUCCUGGAGAAGCAUCACUCACAGCAUCACAGAAUGGUUGGGUUGGAAGGAACCUCAAGGACCACGAAGCUCCAACACUCCUGCUGCAGGCAGGGCCACCAACCUCCACACUCCAUACCAGCCCAGGCUGCCCAGGGCCCCAUCCAACCUGGCCUUGAACACCUGCAGGGAUGGAUGGGGCAUCCACAGCCCCUCUGGCAGCUGUUCCAGCACCUCACCACUCUCAUAGUAAAGAACUUCCCCUCUGACAUCCAACCUAAAUCUUCCCUCCUUCAACGUUAAACCGUUUCCCCUUGUCCUGCUCGAUGCAUUGCUCGAUGCCACACCACAGGGACAAAGCAGCUGCAGAAAGUGUGUGUUGUGCAAAAGCUGGGGCACGAGUGGGGGCUAAAAGGGACACCUGGAUGGCAGCAUGCUGUCCUUCUCUCUGUUCACCUUCUAGCUCAAUUCUACUUCUGAAAUCUGCCCCCAUUCCAUAUCCUACUGUUCUUCCUGAAGGGCAACGGAAAAGGAUGGCUCUGCUCUUUGGCACCAGCAGAGCUGCUCCUGCCCUGCCUGCUGUGCACCCAUCUGCCACGCUCCUCCCCGGCCUCUGCCCACAGCCACGUCCCCAAAUACCCCGAGAUCUCACUUCCCUUUGGUUUCACUGCCUUUCAGCCCCGAGGGACCAAAUGUUUUGUUUUGCUCUGUGCGUUUCCACGUUCAUCUUUCAUCUUCUGUUUGAAGCUAUUGUGAAGAAGCUGCGAAAAGCAAUGUGGCCCUGGUGCUCCUCUGAUGGCACUCGGGCUCUGGAGAGGUGUCUGAAAGCUGACAGCAGAGCUCUGUGCUGCUGGGAGGAACCAACUUCUGCGUUUGGGCACCCCACUCUGUGGGGAUUGGGGCCAGGACGGGUUGGAGCAGAACCCCAAAGUCUGAAUGCAAUUCAGUGUUUGCCAGAAGGCAGGGACUGAUAAGGCCUGCUGGGCUCUCAGUGCACCUCUUUAGGCACAUAGUGACAAGGAAAAGGUUCAGCUCAGCGAGGAGCAGGCAGUGGCCACUGCUCUGCUGCCUCUGCCCUGUGUGGGCAGCCCUGCCCCGUGAAGCCCUUCCCUUCCCAGACUUAAAACCAACGCCCUCCUGAGUGCCUUCCUGUACCAGCUCCUUUCUGCUCUCUCUCUCUCUCUAUUUUCUGGGGUCACAGCAAAGAGCAGCACUGGGGCAGCACCCAUGGGACCAUAAUGUGUUUGUAGCACACGGACAGACACACGCAGAGCAUUGCUGCUGAGUUCACUGCAGGUCCUCUGGUGCUGCUGUCAAACCUUCAUUUUCAGGUGUUGGAAAUCAUUUGUUUCCCUUCAUCUGUUUUCUGUCCGCAGAUGGUGCUUCCUCUGUAGGUGAUGGACUCGAGGUGACAGUGAUGGCUCAGUGCUUCCUCAUAUAAGCAGAGCUCCAGAACCACCCUCAGCACAGUGCUGCGCAAUGGCUGCAAUGCUUCGCAGAGGAUCAGUGUGUGUAUGUAAAUGGCAGAAUGUUCUCAAGCAGCACUGGAUUUUGCAUUUUAGCAAGGAUUUCCUUCCCAACUCCUCCUUCCUCAGUGCUGCUCAGUACCUCUUUCCCACUCCUGCCCCUUGUUCUUCCCUGCCCAGCUCUUUGCCCUGCAUGGCACGUUCCAGCCCCUCCUUUCUUGCUGAUCUCUGUGAUUAAAAGGUGGUGAGCAACACGGUUAUGAAAGCAAUGAUCUGUGCUGUAUCUUCAGAGGAAUGUCCACCUGCACUGUCUGCAGGAUGGAAACCAGCAGGGAGGCUGCUCCUUACCCUUCUGGCGCAAUGAUUGAACAGAUACUGCCCUCAGUUAAUAACAAUUCCCAAUAACUCUUGAAAUGAAGCAGACACAGCUCUGCUAAUUAAGGUGAAAAAGCAGCUCAUCCAAAUAACUUUCCUCAGAAAGCACGUCCAAUGACACUUCUAUCUGUUACGCUGUGUGUAGUUAUUAUCCCCAGUAGGUUAUACAGGAUGCAAGUGGGAGAAUUUCUGAUGCUCUCAUUAAUUUUGGUGGCAACUUUCUGUACUGGGAAUCAUCAUUCACCUCCACCCAUUGGAAGCAGUUGAAUUUCAGGAAGGUGGCAGUGCACACAUGGCACAGGGUUAAAUUUGGGUUAAAGACAGCAUCAUCUCCAGGCCUCUGGCAAAUGAGGCGGAGUAAGCAGGACACAGCAGGGGAGAUCAGGUCCUUCACAAAUGGGAAUAUUCACUUGGGAAGAAGUAGGAGAAAAUAACCUAGAAAUAAGGUCACUGGUCUCCAGACAGCCCCAUGGGAAAGCCAAGUAGUGCUGAGAGUAAUUUUCCUGCUUAGUGUGGCAGGCGUGUGGGCACACAUCAUAGGGAAGUGAGAGCAAUACAGGCUUUGGACAAUACUAGAAACCCCAAGAGACCACGAAGAGCCCUUAACCCUUUGGGUAAACGGUCCCAUGUGAACACCCAGCACAUUAACUUAUUGUUGCACGAGGCUGGGAAAUGGUUUGGAUCUUAGUUUAUGUGAGCAUUACCAAAGAAUAAAACAUUGCAACAUAUCUGUCAGGAACUGUAUUUCUCUGUGCUACAAUCCUUGAAGAAGAGGAAGUAAACACACUGCUGGCUCUGCACGACUCUUCCUGUAGGGCAACUGCAUUGUCAUCCCCAGGAAAUGCAACACCAAGCCCUGAAAUGAUCUGCACUGUAAAGGGCUGCUACAAUUCUGAGAGCUGUUAAAUUGCAGAGGAACAGAGCUGUGUUUGAUUGGGCAGAACGGUCAGGUUCCUGGGAACCCUUCAUCCUCAGCUGUAUGGUGGAAGAAGAGUGGGGAGUCAGAAACAGGGCAUGGGGAACGUGGCCUCCUCCAUAUCACUGCAGCCGGGUGAGAUGAGGUUAUGGAGGAAAAGGCCAUGGUGUCACGGAGCAGAGCCACAGUUCCCCCCUGUCCCAAAGCUGUUCCCACCACUCCCCAGGGCUCUGCCUGAGCUUGAAUCUCAACACUGGUUGGGGUGUGAAUGUCCCAGUCAGACCAUAGGGAACUGUGGCUUUGUCGGUUUGUAGGUUUGGGUCUGUUGGUUGGUUUGGGUUUAUUUGUGGUGGCGUUGUCACUGUUUUGCAUUACUGAGUGCAUGAACCAGAAACUCAGAGUGUUUUACUCAGUCACCUGGGGAUUACAGCAGAUUCCAGGCUGACCAUGAGCCAAUAGCAUGCUUUUGUCUCAGACAGAGAAAACCACACGUUGGCUUACAGUAGGAUGAGGGAAACCAUUACCGCCUUCUACUCUGUGAGGCCUUUCAUUCAGCUUUGCUGCAGCUGCUGCUGGGCCAAGGACAUCAAGACACCACGUGUGGGGCCAGGAAGAAGAAAUGUGUGCAAUGGACACCUACUGUGGCUUGGGAAACCCAACUGAACAUUAGGAAUAUAAAGAUCAGUAGGGAGGUUUGGCGGUGGGUUGAGUAGUAUGGUUAGGUGGAGGUUGCAUGGUCUUGAAGGUCUCUUCCAACCUGAGCAAUUUGAUGAUCCGAUGAUAAGGCGGUGUAGUACUGGAACAGGUCACUGAGGCCAGUUGGAGACUCCCCAUCCUUAGGGAUUUUCAAGACUCAGCUGCACAAAACCCCACUGAACACUGAUGGAAGCUCUUCCUUGGGUGGGAGGUUGGACGAGACGCCCAACAGAAUUCCUCUCCACCAAACAUUUCCAUAUUUCUAUGACCUUAAAUUCAGGCAAAUGCACGUGCCCUUAGCACAAGUGUGUAAGAUUUCGAUGUAUUUCUAACUGCUUUCAGAUCCAGGGAGUUUCACACGAAAGUGCAACAGAAAAAAGUGUGCAGCUUUAAAGCAUUUCUUAAUCCCACCCCUUUAGAAUCUGAGUGCUGUUUACUCUGCUGUCUGCUGGAGAUCCAACACGUUCAAAAAUAGCAUGGCAUGGGGUCCCAUCAAAGCCUUCUAACAUCACCAGGUGUCUCCUCAGCAUGAAAACAAAUUCUUUGAAGAGAUUGCUUGGAAGAGGAAAAUAAAGUACCGCAAGUGAGCUCCUGUGCUGUGAUGUGGUAUCGGAUGUACAGAAAACAUCUGCAGUAAAACUCGUCUGCAAAAGUGAGGCAGGCAGAUUUCCCCUCUGUGUACAUGAAGAGCCACCUUUUCUGAAUUAAUAAUAAUAAAAACAAGGAUAAU